This 460-nucleotide ribosomal RNA is filed under the name uncultured bacterium. RNAcentral describes it as "partial 16S ribosomal RNA". It matches the Rfam family "Bacterial small subunit ribosomal RNA", at positions 338 to 795 of the family's 1533-position model. The record is from RNAcentral.
CCUACGUGAGGCAGCAGUGAGGAAUAUUGGUCAAUGGGCGCGAGCCUGAACCAGCCAAGUAGCGUGAAGGAUGAAUGCCCUACGGGUUGUAAACUUCUUUUAUAAAGGAAUAAAGUGAGGCUCGUGUGCCUUUUUGUAUGUACUUUAUGAAUAAGGAUCGGCUAACUCCGUGCCAGCAGCCGCGGUAAUACGGUGGAUCCGAGCGUUAUCCGGAUUUAUUGGGUUUAAAGGGAGCGUAGAUGGGUUGUUAAGUCAGUUGUGAAAGUUUGCGGCUCAACCGUAAAAUUGCAAUUGAUACUGGCAGUCUUGAGUACAGUUGAGGUAGGCGGAAUUCGUGGUGUAGCGGUGAAAUGCGUAGAUAUCACGAAGAACUCCGAUUGCGAAGGCAGCUUACUAAACUGCCACUGACAUUGAUGCUCGAAAGUGUGGGUAUCAAACAGGAUUAGAUACCCGUGUAGUC